AAUCUUUAUCAUUCAUUUAGAACCACCUGUUCUUAAUUAUCAUGGCAGUAAAACACUCAUUUUGACCUUAGAGUUAUCUGUUUAGGUAUAAUGAUUCAAAUUCGGGUAGUUGCACAUGAAUUAUGACCACUUUAGCAUUUUUUGCUUAAUUUCUAGUUUGGAGUUUGAUAGUUCUGUUACUCUUUGAACCUAGCAUAGCAAUAUAAAAUUUGAGUAGAAGUAAUUAUAAUUCUCUGUUUC
Ceratotherium simum simum (southern white rhinoceros) is the source of this 240-nucleotide non-coding RNA. NCBI's taxonomy places the organism in Eukaryota, Metazoa, Chordata, Mammalia, Perissodactyla, Rhinocerotidae. The record is from RefSeq and is a predicted model, not a curated record.